Molecule: long non-coding RNA, 236 nt
Organism: Lacerta agilis (Sand lizard)
Lineage: Eukaryota; Metazoa; Chordata; Lepidosauria; Squamata; Lacertidae
Exons: 2
Source: RefSeq, a predicted model, not a curated record
CCUCAGAAGUUAGUCCCGUUGGAUUCAAUGGGAGCUUACUCCCUACUCGCAGACUCCUCUGAGGAUGUUCAGUGCCCCCCUCCCAGGAAAAAGAUUCAACAAAAGCGGCUAGAAGAAGCUUUAAUUAAAUGUCUGGUUUCAAUGGGAUUAGUGCCUGAUUAAUCCAGCCUCUGUCUGCCUGUCAAUCAUGCCUGUCAUUAUAAUUGUCAACUAUAUAGCCGCUAACUAUGUGAAAA